CAGUUCUGAAGGCAAGAGGAGGUCAAGUCAGUGCUAGCAAGAUCACUUCACAAAGUGGCCAGUUAUGACAUACAGGCUGAAGGGUGAGGGCUACUCACCAGAGGAGACACCAUCCAAGAAUACCAGAGAUAUGGACAAAGACAAGCUGAACAUGAACCUGCAGGCCAUGGUCUGAAGAAUUUGUUUCAAAGAGCAAGAAAUCAACGUAGAAAGAGGAAAAGAAAUCUGUCUGCUGGGAUUAUAGAAGAGCACCAAGAGGUCAGAAAGGAGGCAACAAAACUCCCCCCAAAAGUUGAAGAAUCCUG
This is a long non-coding RNA of Pundamilia nyererei, 305 nucleotides long. RefSeq lists it as uncharacterized. NCBI's taxonomy places the organism in Eukaryota, Metazoa, Chordata, Actinopteri, Cichliformes, Cichlidae. The record is from RefSeq and is a predicted model, not a curated record. The transcript has 3 exons.